This 218-nucleotide unclassified non-coding RNA is filed under the name air metagenome. RNAcentral's name for it is "partial contains small subunit ribosomal RNA, internal transcribed spacer 1, and 5.8S ribosomal RNA". The stretch from base 1 to 46 matches the Rfam family "Eukaryotic small subunit ribosomal RNA", at positions 1786 to 1831 of the family's 1831-position model. The record is from RNAcentral.
AAGUCGUAACAAGGUCUCCGUAGGUGAACCUGCGGAGGGAUCAUUACCGAGUGAAGGGCCUUCGGGCCCGACCUCCAACCCUUUGUUUUAACCGACCGCGUUGCCUCGGGGGACGAGCGAUCGUCCCCCGGUGGCCCCCUCAAACUCUGCUUCAUCAAGCGUCUGAGUACACUCGAGAAAUCGAAACAAAACUUUCAACAACGGAUCUCUUGGUUCUG